Molecule: long non-coding RNA, 86 nt
Organism: Trachymyrmex septentrionalis
Lineage: Eukaryota; Metazoa; Arthropoda; Insecta; Hymenoptera; Formicidae
Exons: 3
Source: RefSeq, a predicted model, not a curated record
AUCAAUGUUACAAUUUCGCACUCAACAAUGUAACUGUUAUGUAACACCACGUGUUGUAUUACAUUUAUAUUAAAUGUGAAAUUAUA